Molecule: ribosomal RNA, 509 nt
Filed under: uncultured bacterium
Lineage: Bacteria
Description: bacterial SSU rRNA
Rfam family: Bacterial small subunit ribosomal RNA
Source: RNAcentral
CUACGUGCCAGCAGCCGCGGUAAUACGUAGGGGGCAAGCGUUAUCCGGAUUCAUUGGGCGUAAAGCGCUCGUAGGCGGUCUGUUAGGUCGGGAGUUAAAUCCGGGGGCUCAACCCCCGUUCGCUCCCGAUACCGGCAGACUUGAGUUUGGUAGGGGAAGGUGGAAUUCCUAGUGUAGCGGUGGAAUGCGCAGAUAUUAGGAAGAACACCAGUGGCGAAGGCGGCCUUCUGGGCCAUAACUGACGCUGAGGAGCGAAAGCUAGGGGAGCAAACAGGAUUAGAUACCCUGGUAGUCCUAGCCGUAAACGAUGGGUACUAGGUGUAGGAGGUAUCGACCCCUUCUGUGCCGGAGUUAACGCAAUAAGUACCCCGCCUGGGGAGUACGACCGCAAGGUUGAAACUCAAAGGAAUUGACGGGGGCCCGCACAAGCGGUGGAGUAUGUGGUUUAAUUCGACGCAACGCGAAGAACCUUACCAGGUCUUGACAUUGAUGGACAGAACUAGAGAUAG